CUGGCUCAGGACGAACGCUGGCGGCGUGCCUAACACAUGCAAGUCGAGCGGAGAAUGCAGAAAUGUUUACAUGGAAGCGUUCUUAGCGGCGGACGGGUGAGUAACACGUGGGUAACCUGCCUCAAAGUGGGGGAUAGCCUUCCGAAAGGAAGAUUAAUACCGCAUAAGCCUACAGUGCCGCAUGGCACAGCAGGAAAAGGAGCAAUCCGCUUUGAGAUGGACCCGCGGCGCAUUAGCUAGUUGGUGAGGUAACGGCUCACCAAGGCGACGAUGCGUAGCCGACCUGAGAGGGUGAUCGGCCACAUUGGAACUGAGACACGGUCCAGACUCCUACGGGAGGCAGCAGUGGGGAAUAUUGCACAAUGGGCGAAAGCCUGAUGCAGCAACGCCGCGUGAGUGAUGAAGGCCUUCGGGUCGUAAAGCUCUUUGAUCAGGGAUGAUAAUGACAGUACCUGAAAAACAAGCCACGGCUAACUACGUGCCAGCAGCCGCGGUAAUACGUAGGUGGCGAGCGUUGUCCGGAAUUACUGGGCGUAAAGGAUGCGUAGGUGGAUACUUAAGUGGGAUGUGAAAUCCCCGGGCUCAACCCGGGAACUGCAUUCCAAACUGGGUAUCUAGAG
RNAcentral lists this ribosomal RNA (620 nucleotides) under Clostridium sp. enrichment culture clone dylF11. RNAcentral describes it as "bacterial SSU rRNA". It matches the Rfam family "Bacterial small subunit ribosomal RNA", at positions 19 to 646 of the family's 1533-position model. The record is from RNAcentral. Lineage: Bacteria; Bacillati; Bacillota; Clostridia; Eubacteriales; Clostridiaceae.